CUUCAUUAAGCUGAAAUGAGAGCCCAACAAAAAAGGCAUCUCACAUGGAUCAUCAAUUAUCUGCAGAAGAUAAGAUUCCAGAGACUUGGAGGUAGCCUUGAAGGAAAGCCCCCUGGCACAUGUGUUCAUUAUUUGUGUCCAGCCAGAGAGGAUGUCUUUUGGUCAAUUAAGAUUUUCUGGUUUUUGUAGUGCUUCAUGUUGUAUCAUGAACCAAUCAAAACAAGCCCCGGAAGGAUGCCCAGCACUGGUGCAAGAGAGAUAACACACAAUGAAGAAGAAUGUAUCUACUGUCUCCCUUGCUGGGCUGUUGUGGAAGAAAUUGCGUGGUCAUGUGUGUGAAACACGUGAGCAGAAGUAUGCCAGCUAUACCUAAGGUAGGAACCAUGACCACCUUUUUUCACAUGACCGCAAGCACAGAAGAAUUGCAGGUACAUGUAUAGUCUCUCUGUCUGAUCUCCAAGUCCUCGCUUACUGUGACGGCAUUUGCAUGUUUUGCCCUUCGUAAUACUAUUCUCCUGUCUGCAGAGUCCCAUAAAAGUGCUCUUAGAUUCUUCUGAACAGGAGGCAUAUGAAAAUCUCAGCUAUUAGCACUUAACUAUAUUGGAUUUGUGCUCCUAGAAAGCCAGCACUGCUGACUGCAGCUGGACAGCCACUCC
Pogona vitticeps (central bearded dragon) is the source of this 656-nucleotide non-coding RNA. Lineage: Eukaryota; Metazoa; Chordata; Lepidosauria; Squamata; Agamidae. The record is from RefSeq and is a predicted model, not a curated record.